CCCAUUCAUUCUGCUGGCAACAUCAGACCAACGAGAAAAAAAAUGACUGACGAGAUGUCGGCCAUUACAUUAAUAUAAAAUCGAUUACAUUGAAAGUUAGAAAGCCGUAAAUAUACUCUGAUAUUCAAGAAAAUAAGUAUUUACAGUUGUAUUCAGAUUUAAAAUGAACUCGAAAAGUAGAAGUAAUUAUAAUGAGGACCUCUUCGAGUAUAUUAAAGUCAGUGAAGAUGAAGAUGACGCUAAUGCUGUGGAAAUUCCUUGCGAACUUGAUGGCGCCUUACUUCUGUCAACGCUUGUAGCGCAGUUUCCUGGAGCAUGCGGCUUGAAGUACCGUCAUCCUGAAAGUAAAUCUGUCCGUGGAAUUCGUUUGAGUGAUGGCAAGCUUCACCCUCCGAAUGAUGCCGGCUGGGGUAAGCAUCUUUAUAUUUGCGUUUUCCCCAAAGAAAACAAACGUAAGAUGGAAGAUGUUUCUCCAGAGAACUCUGCGGCGAAAACAAAACGUCUUGAGAAAAAACUUACCUGUUCUGAUUUAAUUUGUCUUGGAUUACCAUGGAAAUCAACAGAAGAGUCCAUAAGGCAGUACUUUGAACAAUUUGGUGAAGUUGUUAUGGUUCAGCUUAAGAGGGAUAAAAAUGGUACCUUUAAGGGAUUUGGCUUCAUUCGCUUUGCAACAUAUGUAUCUCAAAUGAGAGCUUUGGCUCAACGGCACAAUAUAGAAGGGCGUUGGGUAGAUGUGCGAAUCCCUAACUCCAAAGAAGGAGUAGUUCCUCAAAUGCCGUGUAAAGUAUUUGUUGGUCGAUGUACUGAGGAUAUGACCGCAGAUGAUCUUCGGGAUUAUUUUUCCAAAUUUGGAGAGGUAACAGAUGUCUUCGUUCCAAGACCAUUCCGAGCAUUCGGAUUUGUUACAUUUUUGGACCCAGAAGUAGCUCAAAGCCUAUGUGGUGAAGACCAUGUUAUUAAAGGAGCAUCAGUGUCUGUUUCCAGUGCUGCACCAAAGAUUAAAGCCAAAUCUAACCAAAAUUGGAAGGAUGAUGGUUAUGGGCCAAAUAACUGGGAUGGAAACAGAUCAGGUCCUUCUGGGGGAUCAAAUAAUUCUGGUGGAAGUAGUAACAUAGACUCACUAAAUAUGCAAAACUUGGGCAUCAAUCCAAAUGGAGGCCCACCGGCCAACUUCAAUUUACCUAUAAGUGUUGUAGCAGCUGCAUUAAAUCAAGCAGGAUGGGGAGGAUUUCUAGGAGGACCUGGUAAUGGGGGUCCUAAUUGGCAAGGGGGUCCUCCUCAAAGCAAUUCGGGAAAAAAUUGGAACAGCAAUCAAAAUUGGGGUCAGAGUGGUCCUCCUCCAUCAUGGAACCAAGGAGGUGGCAACCAAGGUUGGAAUGGCAAUAAGAGUGGCAACUGGGGCCAAGGAAAUUGGUCGAAUGGCCAAGGAGGGUGGGGAGGUAAUGGCAACAACGGGUCAGGCCCUCCUGUGUCAAGCAGUGCAUGGAACAACAAGCCCCAGACAUGAGAUAUAACAUGUGAAAUUGGGAUUCAAAUAGUGAUGCCAGAAGAAACUCCACAGCCGCUCUUUACAUGCUCGGGGAAGAUGGGAGUUACAAGGCAUGGGUGUUGGCGUGACGAAUCAGUGGAAAACUGGAAGAAUUAAGACUCAAUAAGGCCUUUACUUUUUUUUGUCAAUGCAACUUAGUCCCUUAAUCUGAGGGUCGAGGGCACAUUAUGUGUCCUAGCAUUUGUUUGCAACUUUGCACCUACCAUCAUCAUCAUCGUACAGCGACGCGACGACGCGGGUUCGCUCGACACUACGUUGAUGCUUGUUGCACAGCAGACGCCUCUCUCUGUUUCACAACACGACCUACAUGGCGGCCACUGCCACACAUAACAGCGCCACUACACACAAUUGGGUGUGGGGUCGGCGGACCUCCUGCGUAUCUAUUCAUAAGAUGUAUUGUACUCAUAGUUAUUCAUAUUGCUGUGAUGGUACUAGACUCUUGAGUACCAGUAUAAUUUGGGUGCCAAGUUCUGUGCUGUGUAGAAAAUCCUGAAAUUAUAAAGCAGCAUCCUCGGCACAAUGCCAAAGGGGCCUUUUUAGGGUUCCGUAGCCAUAUGGCAAAAAGCGGAACUCUUAUAGAUUCGUCAUAUCCGUCUGUCUGUCCGAUUAUGUCACAGCCACUUUUUUUAUAUAGAUAUUUAUGUUUAUUUUUAUUAAGGUGCCAUUCGUGAGUAAAUAGUUAUAUAUGUAAAAAAUAGUACAAAAGAAAUUACAUUACCUAAAGGAUUUGUCUUAGCUAGUUUUUACGUAAAGGCUAUUUAUUAUAUUUGUCUAAAAUUUGGUUUGUUGGUAAAAACUAGCCAAGUCAAAUCCUUUAGGUAACGUCAUUUCAUUUGUAUAUUUUUUUUUACAUAUAUAACUAUUUCUUCACGAAUAGUAUAUUAAUAAAAAUAAACGAAAAUAUCUAUAUAAAAAACCGGCCAAGUGCAUGUCGGGCCAUGCUCAAUGUAGGGUUCCGUAGUUACCCUUCCGUCACAAUAAGGUAAACUAUAGUGGAGUAAGUUGUAGAGCUAGAGACGAAUGAUAAAGAAAAGCUUUAAAAUAAAACCGAAAUUUAUUAUAACCAAAAAACAGCGGAUAUGAUAACUGUUAAAUAGUACGUAUGUAAUUGGGUUCAUUGAAAAAUUAGCGGCCUGGCCAAUUAAAAAAAAAACUUUUUUCCUUUUUCUGCCGCCAUUUUGAACUGUUAUUAUUCAACUGUCUUCCCGCAAAAUUUCAAUUGGCGUCUAUAUUUAAAAACAAUUUUACGGCAUAUUUAAAGUUACGUGUCGGUAGAUAUCGUGAAAAUGGAGAAAUUAGGGCAGCGUGCUGUGAUUAAAUACCUCCAUAAAAAAAGGAUUGACACAGAAGCAAAUUUAUGAUGAUAUGCAAAGUACAUUAGGGCAAUCCUGUCCAUCAUAUACGAUGGUGAAAAAAUGGGCAGCUGAAUUCAAGCGUGGACGAGAUAGUAUCGCAGAUGACUCUCGUCCCGGGAGGCCAACAACGGUGACUAACACGGACAAUGUGGCAAUUAUAUAAUGAAAGACCGGCGAUUAAAGGUGCGGGAAAUAGCUGACAUCGUAGGCAUCUCUUAUGAAAGAACUCAAAAUAUUAUAGUCAACGAAUUAGGUUUUUCCAAGGUGUCGGCGAGAUGGGUCCCGAGGCUUCUUUCAGUGGAAAAAAAAUCGCUCGCCGUACUAAUUCACGUGAAUGUCUAGACCUGUAUGAAGCCGAUACUCAAGACUUUUUGGAAAGAUUUGUAACUAUGGACGAGACGUGGGUCCACCACUAUACACCAGAGACCAAACAUCAAUCGAAGCAGUGGGUUCGUCCUGGUUCUCCGCCUCCCAAAAAAGCCAAAGCAAUUUUGUCGGCCAAUAAAGUCAUGGCAUCUGUUUUCUGGGAUGCAAAGGGAAUAAUAAUGGUUGACUAUCUCCAGAGAGGUAAAACUAUAAAUUCCCACAAUUAUUGCGAGUUAUUACGCAGAUUACGCGAAGCUCUGAAGAUAAAAAGACCUGGAAUGUUGACAAAGAAAGUUAUCUUCCACCAGGACAAUGCACGUGUUCACACGUCACUAAAAUCGAUGGCGGAGAUUGCCAAAUGUGGGUUUGAAUUAUUGCCCCACCCACCCUAUUUACCCGAUUUAGCACCAUCGGACUUUCAUCUGUUCCCCAAUUAAAAAAAAAACAUAUGGGUGGUAUGAAAUUUUCAAGCAACGCCGAGGUCCAAGCUGAGGUGGAUGCCUAUUUUGAAGGUCUCGAGGAAAGCUUCUUCAAAAGUGGUGUAAUGGCUCUGGAAUCCAGAUGGAACAAGUGCAUUCAACUCGACGGGGACCAUGUAGAAAAAUAAAAAUAAAAAAAAACCUGUUUUGUUUUUAAUAUUCAGGCCGCGAAUUUUUCAAUCCACCCGUAUGUAGCUUCACUGGGUAAAAUUGUAUUGAUUCUCUAUGUAUUGUCUAACAUCCACACGUAAACUUACAAUUUAUGGCUUAAAAAUAAUAAUAACAAUUUUUAAGAAAAAAAACCGACUUCAUUGAGGGAGACCGGUGAAAGAACGAUUAUUGUCGAUUUGAGAUUUCAUACAAUGAAAUUAAAAAGACAGCGUCCUACGCCUAAUUAUGUAGAAAAGGUGCAGUGGCAAAAAAAAAACAUGUUACCUUGUUUUUUUUUGCCACUGCACCCACCUUGACACAUUUUAGAUUUGCCCUAUGGUUGACUGGUAAGAUACCUACCCGCAAUAGGGUAUUCGACUGUAUUUAAGAUAAAUUAUUUCAAACCAUGCAUGAAAUAAAGCACCAGAUAAUUAUUAAAAAAACUAAAUAGGAUAGAAAUAUAAAAAUGUGCCUUGAAAACCUAACUGCUUGGCAAAGAGAACAAAUUGCCAAACGUGAACUAUGCAUCAUUGAAGAGUUCCGUUCUGUUCAUCAUCAGCAAUUCCACUUCAUCAAAUGUCACUUCUACAAAUGUAAAUACUUGAUUUGUUAAUGAAAAUACUAAUCACUAUAUAUAUGCCUUUAACAUUUGAGGAGUUCCCUCGAGUCCUCAUGGACCCCAUCGUCAGAACUCGAACUUGACAAAAAUUUGUCUUGAAAAUUUAAUUUGCUUAACAAACACAGCGAAAAGGACAAAUCGCCAAACGUGUACUAUGCGUCGUUGAAGAGUACCAUUCUGAUCAUCAUCAGCAGUUCCACUUCAUCAAAUGUCACUUUUUAAAAUGUAAAUGCUUGAUUUGUUAAAGAAAAUACAAAAAUCACUAUAUGUAUGCCUUUCAUAUUUGAAGAAUUCACUCGAUUCCUUAUGGACCCCAUCGUCAGGACUCGAACCAGACAAAAAUUUGUCAUGAAAAUCUAAUUUACUUAACAAAUACAGCGAAGAGGAGAAAUCGCCAAACGUGUACUAUACGUCGUUGAAGAGUUCCAUUCUGAUCAUCAUCAGCAGUUUCACUUCAUCAAAUGUCACUUUUUAAAAUGUAAAUGCUUGAUUUGUCAUAGAAAAUACAAAAAUCACUAUA
Molecule: RNA transcript, 5038 nt
Organism: Cydia pomonella (codling moth)
Lineage: Eukaryota; Metazoa; Arthropoda; Insecta; Lepidoptera; Tortricidae
Gene name: TAR DNA-binding protein 43-like
Exons: 3
Source: RefSeq, a predicted model, not a curated record